Molecule: ribosomal RNA, 990 nt
Filed under: Providencia rustigianii DSM 4541
Lineage: Bacteria; Pseudomonadati; Pseudomonadota; Gammaproteobacteria; Enterobacterales; Morganellaceae
Description: bacterial LSU rRNA
Rfam family: Bacterial large subunit ribosomal RNA
Source: RNAcentral
UAUAACGGUCCUAAGGUAGCGAAAUUCCUUGUCGGGUAAGUUCCGACCUGCACGAAUGGCGUAAUGAUGGCCAGGCUGUCUCCACCCGAGACUCAGUGAAAUUGAACUCGCUGUGAAGAUGCAGUGUACCCGCGGCAAGACGGAAAGACCCCGUGAACCUUUACUAUAGCUUGACACUGAACAUUGAGCCUUGAUGUGUAGGAUAGGUGGGAGGCUUUGAAGCGUGGACGCCAGUCUGCGUGGAGCCAACCUUGAAAUACCACCCUUUAAUGUUUGAUGUUCUAACGUGGCCCCAUUAUCUGGGGUGCGGACAGUGUCUGGUGGGUAGUUUGACUGGGGCGGUCUCCUCCCAAAGAGUAACGGAGGAGCACGAAGGUUGGCUAAGCAUGGUCGGACAUCAUGCGGUUAGUGCAAAGGCAUAAGCCAGCUUGACUGCGAGAGUGACAGCUCGAGCAGGUACGAAAGUAGGUCUUAGUGAUCCGGUGGUUCUGAAUGGAAGGGCCAUCGCUCAACGGAUAAAAGGUACUCCGGGGAUAACAGGCUGAUACCGCCCAAGAGUUCAUAUCGACGGCGGUGUUUGGCACCUCGAUGUCGGCUCAUCACAUCCUGGGGCUGAAGUAGGUCCCAAGGGUACGGCUGUUCGCCGUUUAAAGUGGUACGCGAGCUGGGUUUAGAACGUCGUGAGACAGUUCGGUCCCUAUCUGCCGUGGGCGUUGGAAGAUUGAAAGGGGCUGCUCCUAGUACGAGAGGACCGGAGUGGACGCACCACUGGUGUUCGGGUUGUCAUGCCAAUGGCAUUGCCCGGUAGCUAAGUGCGGAAGAGAUAACCGCUGAAAGCAUCUAAGCGGGAAACUUGCCUUGAGAUGAGUCUUCCCUGACUCUUUAAGGGUCCUAAAGGAACGUUUAAGACUAAGACGUUGAUAGGUUGGGUGUGUAAGCGUAGCGAUACGUUGAGCUAACCAAUACUAAUGAACCGUGAGGCUUAACCUG